GGCAUAAACACCGAUGACCGAAAACCAAAACCGAAAAGACCGAAACCGAUUAGAUGUUUGGGUAGAAAAAUUUAUAGACCGAAUUUUAUUCUAGUAAUUCGGGUGUCAAUUGAGAAAAGACCGAAAGACCGAAUAGGACCGAACGUCAUAAAAAACAACCCAUUCUCCUAACCCAACCUAGGCGCCAACCACUCCCUAUGCAAAAAUGACGGCACAACAGAGGC
Molecule: long non-coding RNA, 224 nt
Filed under: Brachypodium distachyon (stiff brome)
Lineage: Eukaryota; Viridiplantae; Streptophyta; Magnoliopsida; Poales; Poaceae
Description: long non-coding RNA (BDIS_LNC001126)
Source: RNAcentral